GGGUCGGUAGCUCAGUCGGUAGAGCAGCGGACUUUUAAUCCGUUGGUCGUGGGUUCGAAUCCCACCCGACCCACCA
RNAcentral lists this transfer RNA (76 nucleotides) under Fluviibacter phosphoraccumulans. RNAcentral's name for it is "tRNA-Lys". It matches the Rfam family "tRNA". Rfam says of the family: Transfer RNA (tRNA) molecules are approximately 80 nucleotides in length. Their secondary structure includes four short double-helical elements and three loops (D, anti-codon, and T loops). The record is from RNAcentral. Lineage: Bacteria; Pseudomonadati; Pseudomonadota; Betaproteobacteria; Rhodocyclales; Fluviibacteraceae. RNAcentral also lists the same sequence under 7 other names.